UACGUAGGGAGCAAGCGUUGUCCGGAAUCAUUGGGCGUAAAGCGCGCGUAGGCGGCCUCAUAAGUCCGUUGUGAAAGUCAAAGGCUCAACCUUUGAAAGCCGGUGGAUACUGUGGGACUAGAGUACGGAAGAGGCGAGUGGAAUUCCUGGUGUAGCGGUGGAAUGCGCAGAUAUCAGGAGGAACACCAAUAGCGAAGGCAGCUCGCUGGGACGUUACUGACACUGAGGCGCGAAAGCGUGGGGAGCGAACAGG
Molecule: ribosomal RNA, 253 nt
Filed under: uncultured bacterium
Lineage: Bacteria
Description: partial 16S ribosomal RNA
Rfam family: Bacterial small subunit ribosomal RNA
Source: RNAcentral